GCCCCGGUAGUGUAGUCCGGCCCAGCAUCUGAGGUUUUCGACCUCAUGACCCGGGUUCGAAUGAGAGGUGCUUUGGCAACUCUCCGAAAUUCCCGGCCGGGGCA
Molecule: transfer RNA, 104 nt
Filed under: Candidatus Thorarchaeota archaeon
Lineage: Archaea; Promethearchaeati; Candidatus Thorarchaeota
Description: tRNA-Glu
Source: RNAcentral